UCGAUGAAGAACGCAGCCAACUGCGAUAUGUAGUGUGAACUGCAGAAACCUUGAACACAGAACUUUCGAAUGCACAUUGCGCCA
This 84-nucleotide ribosomal RNA is filed under the name Rotylenchus fragaricus. RNAcentral's name for it is "partial 5.8S ribosomal RNA". It matches the Rfam family "5.8S ribosomal RNA", at positions 33 to 118 of the family's 154-position model. Rfam says of the family: 5.8S ribosomal RNA (5.8S rRNA) is a component of the large subunit of the eukaryotic ribosome. It is transcribed by RNA polymerase I as part of the 45S precursor that also contains 18S and 28S rRNA. Lineage: Eukaryota; Metazoa; Nematoda; Chromadorea; Rhabditida; Hoplolaimidae. The record is from RNAcentral.